CUUUGUUUUAACACGCUAUAUUUAAAAGUAGCCACUUCAUUUCAAAAAUAAUCUUUUUAUCAACAGGUCUGCCAUUACAAAUUGAGAAUUAUGAUGAAGUGUUGUUGUUUGAUUGUUUUUAUCUUUUGCACAAUUGAUGUGUCAAAUGGCGGCACUCUUUCUAAAAUAUGCAUCGGUACCUGUGGAACAAAAGGUGUUCCGUGUAAUGAGACUUUCGGGUCUGAUUGGACGUAUAACGGAAAAUGCUGUGGUGACCGACCAUGUUGUAAAUUUUUAAAAGCGCCAUGUGUUCCAGAAACUUGCCCAAAGGGGUUCAAGCUAUUAUCAAACCAAACGAGUAGUCAAAAUUGUUAUUACAGUAGUGGUCCCAGUAGUUGGGUUAAUGACGCUAGCUGGAAUACAG
Molecule: long non-coding RNA, 403 nt
Organism: Mytilus trossulus (common blue mussel)
Lineage: Eukaryota; Metazoa; Mollusca; Bivalvia; Mytilida; Mytilidae
Exons: 4
Source: RefSeq, a predicted model, not a curated record